This 64-nucleotide small RNA is filed under the name Rhodovulum imhoffii. RNAcentral's name for it is "suhB". The record is from RNAcentral. Lineage: Bacteria; Pseudomonadati; Pseudomonadota; Alphaproteobacteria; Rhodobacterales; Paracoccaceae.
CGCCUCUUCCCGCAGGGUGUUGACUUAAAGGCCGGUCUUUCGACCGGCCCUUUUUUUAUUUUUU